GUGGUCAAGCUAAUAAGGGCUAAUGGUGGAUACCUAGGCACACAGAGGCGAAGAAGGACGUGGUUACCGACGAAAUGUUCCGGGGAGUUGGAAGCAAACUGAGAGCCGGAAAUAUCCGAAUGGGGCAACCCUAUGUACUACCUGUUGAAUAUAUAGACAGGAAAGAGCCAACCCAGCGAACUGAAACAUCUUAGUAGCUGGAGGAAGAGAAAUCAAAACAGAGAUUCCCUAAGUAGUGGUGAGCGAAAGGGGAAGAGCCUAAACCAGAGGAUUUAUCUUCUGGGGUCGUGGGACAGCAAUAUCGAAUCACUUAGGUUAGACGAAACAGCUAAAUACUGUACCAGAGGGGGUGAAAGUCCCGUAGUUGAAAGCCAAAGGAUAGUAGCUGAAUCCCGAGUAAUACGGAGCACGAGGAAUUCCGUAUGAAUCAGCGAGGACCACCUCGUAAGGCUAAAUACUACUGUGUGACCGAUAGUGAACAAGUACCGCGAGGGAAAGGUGAAAAGAACCCCGGAAGGGGAGUGAAAUAGAACAUGAAACCAUAAGCUUACAAGCAGUGGGAGUCCGAUUUAACGGAUGACCGCGUGCCUGUUGAAGAAUGAGCCGGCGACUUAUAGGCACUGGUAGGUUAAAGCGAGAAUGCUGGAGCCAAAGGGAAACCGAGUCUGAA
RNAcentral lists this ribosomal RNA (670 nucleotides) under Anabaena sp. WA113. RNAcentral's name for it is "bacterial LSU rRNA". It matches the Rfam family "Bacterial large subunit ribosomal RNA", at positions 1 to 687 of the family's 2925-position model. Lineage: Bacteria; Bacillati; Cyanobacteriota; Cyanophyceae; Nostocales; Nostocaceae. The record is from RNAcentral. RNAcentral also lists the same sequence under 1 other name.